Molecule: ribosomal RNA, 679 nt
Filed under: Pseudomonas aeruginosa
Lineage: Bacteria; Pseudomonadati; Pseudomonadota; Gammaproteobacteria; Pseudomonadales; Pseudomonadaceae
Description: bacterial SSU rRNA
Rfam family: Bacterial small subunit ribosomal RNA
Source: RNAcentral
UGCAAGUCGAGCGGAUGAAGGGAGCUUGCUCCUGGAAUUCAGCGGCGGACGGGUGAGUAAUGCCUAGGAAUCUGCCUGGUAGUGGGGGAUAACGUCCGGAAACGGGCGCUAAUACCGCAUACGUCCUGAGGGAGAAAGUGGGGGAUCUUCGGACCUCACGCUAUCAGAUGAGCCUAGGUCGGAUUAGCUAGUUGGUGGGGUAAAGGCUCUACCAAGGCGACGAUCCGUAACUGGUCUGAGAGGAUGAUCAGUCACACUGGAACUGAGACACGGUCCAGACUCCUACGGGAGGCAGCAGUGGGGAAUAUUGGACAAUGGGCGAAAGCCUGAUCCAGCCAUGCCGCGUGUGUGAAGAAGGUCUUCGGAUUGUAAAGCACUUUAAGUUGGGAGGAAGGGCAGUAAGUUAAUACCUUGCUGUUUUGACGUUACCAACAGAAUAAGCACCGGCUAACUUCGUGCCAGCAGCCGCGGUAAUACGAAGGGUGCAAGCGUUAAUCGGAAUUACUGGGCGUAAAGCGCGCGUAGGUGGUUCAGCAAGUUGGAUGUGAAAUCCCCGGGCUCAACCUGGGAACUGCAUCCAAAACUACUGAGCUAGAGUACGGUAGAGGGUGGUGGAAUUUCCUGUGUAGCGGUGAAAUGCGUAGAUAUAGGAAGGAACACCAGUGGCGAAGGCGACCAC